GGUCGCUGCCCGAGGGCGGGGUGCUCGUGGUCGGGGCGUCGGCGACCGGCGUGCAGCUCGCCGCCGAGGUGCGACGCUCCGGGCGGCCG
This 89-nucleotide transfer RNA is filed under the name Actinoplanes campanulatus. RNAcentral describes it as "tRNA-Thr". Lineage: Bacteria; Bacillati; Actinomycetota; Actinomycetes; Micromonosporales; Micromonosporaceae. The record is from RNAcentral.